This 2242-nucleotide long non-coding RNA is filed under the name Carica papaya (papaya). Its description in RNAcentral is "long non-coding RNA (CPAP_LNC007863)". Lineage: Eukaryota; Viridiplantae; Streptophyta; Magnoliopsida; Brassicales; Caricaceae. The record is from RNAcentral.
AAAAAUCGGCUUUCCAAGCCAACCUUGGUCGGCCAUCGAAAGCACCAACACUGUGAUGUCGUACAUGCGGUUGGAUGGUCGGAUGAUGGGCUACAUUUAGCUAAAAGCUUCCUUCUCUUCACAACUUCAUCUUCAUCUUCUUCAAACCCAAAACUCCAGUUAACUAAGUGAGUGAGAGGGGAGGUUGAGAGUAGAAAAUAGUAGAGAGAGAGAGAGAGAGAGAGAGAGUGAUGCACCAGAAUAGAGUAUACGUUCUGUGUGCGUAACAGAGGGGGGAAAUUUCUUCUUCUUGUCGAGGUCAGUUGUUUCUUCUUCUUCUGAAUUGUUUUGCCUUUAAUGUGUUAUGAUUACUUGUACACAAAAAUCCAGCUCUCAAAUUGUAGCAGUAAGCAUCUGUUCAUCAUCUAAUUCCAUUUCUGUUUCAUGUUUCCUUCUUAAACUUUGUAGAUAAUCACUAAGAUAAUGUGCUAGGAGUGUUAGAAUUUUAUUUCCAAAAGUAAAACAACUUUUAAACUCAAAACCUAACUUAACAAUCAUCCCUAUGCUCUGCAAGCACAGCUACUGUGAGUUGCAGAGAAGAAUUCUUGAAUUUCCAAUGUUUUCUUCGUGCAAUUUAGCUUCUGUCUCCUACAUUUAACGAGUAAAAUGGGUAUAAAUCUUGUUGAUGCAUGAUAUGAGAUUUUUAGAUACAUUUGAUGAUUAAACUGCUUGAAUAAAUUUGGUGAUGCUGCAUGUGUUAAGCUAAUGUGUGUGUGUCUCAUGAAAUGUGAUUUUUACAAAUUAAGAUGAUAUUUUUUAUGCAUGGAUGAAUAGAGUGAAUGGAUGUUGGUGAUUGAUGCUUAGAAAAUAAAGAAAGGAGAAAAAUAUUUUCAAGGAAUUGAACCGAAUGGUUCUGCUGGAAGCAUACGGCGCCAAGGUGCAGCUGCUGCUGCGUGUGUGCUGUCCUGCAACUUGCAGGCAUGCGUGGAACGUCUGGGCACCAGAACAGUUUAGAAAUGCUGCUCAGGCACGGGCUGAGUAACAAAAGAAAAAGGAAAUUUGUAAAAUUUGGAAUUAUGGAAAUUAUUUGAGAUAAAAUGGGUCAAUUAGUAAAGAUGAAUUGUUUAAAUUAAAAUGGAAAGAUAAAAACUAAAUCACUUAAUAAAUAAUUAAAAUCUCUUAGUAAUAUUUGGAUUUAAAUAUAAAAUUAAGAAAAUUCACAAGUUAUAAGAUAAACUAAAAUAUUGAGAAGAAUUAAGAUUUUAAUUUUCUAGAAUUAUAAUAAAAUAUAUGAAUUUAGGAAAAGAUAGUGAAGUUUAAGAAUUUAACCAAAUAAAAUGAAAGUAAAAAAUUUAAAUAAACACAGAAUCUAGUUUAAAUCUAAUUCACCAUAUUUGCUUCAAGGGAUAUUUGGUUUGCUUAUUUGUUCAAGAGUCACAAUGUUAUGGGUGCUGGUUUUUGGUUCCUUAAUGGGACAUGUAGUUUAGUUGUCCCUACGGAUUCUGUGUGAUUUGAUAUUCAUGUUUUGAGGCUAAAGGGCAUGAAUGAUGACAACAUGGAGAGACGUGAGAGAAUUAUAUUUGUAUGUUUGUAAGCAUUUGCGCACCCACCCAUGACUAGUUGAUUUCCCAUUUACCCUAUUUGGAAAUAAGUAUAAGUGGUUGCGCUCCUAGUUUUGCAAUCAAUGUAAUUUAAAUUAAGAUAAUAACUGAUCAUUAAAAUUAUGUCAGAAAAUGAGUUUGGUCUUGGGUGUGUGAGUUGUGUAAACCCAUUUAGUACAGUAUUGAGCAUCCUCGUAACAAUUUGUAGGAGAUGAACAUUUGAGUUGGAUAUGAAUAUUGGUUAUGGGAUUUGACCAUGGCAUUUGAUUAGAUCUGUUAAGUAAAUUGAGAACUCCUGUUUUUCAAGUUUUCAUCAAUGAAGAUUUUGAAAUAUAUCUGUGUUGCAUUAUUUCAUUCUAUCUUACUGAGUAUUAGAACUCACCUAAAUUCAACCCCUCCCUCAUCUGCAGAUUUAGAGGAAAACACUAGAGAGCCCUAUUUAGAUUCCUUUUGGGAAGUGUAGUUUGGAGCAUACUUCGUAUUUUAUUUUAGACUUAAGGCUAGUAUUUUGUAACUAAUUUAUCUCUUAUUUUUUAAUUUGAAAUGUAGAUAGCCUAUUGGGCCUCAGUAUACAGUCUUUUAUAAACUUUGUAUGGGAUGUGUAGUUCCGCUGCAAUGUAAAUACUUAUAUUAUGUCUGCUCUAUCACACAUUGGUGCCCCU